CUUUUAAUUGGAGGCUUGAAUGAAUGGUUGCACGAGAAAGAAGCUGUCUCUUUCUAAAGAUUGAAUUUUACUUUUGAGUGAAAAGGCUUAAAUAAUCUGAAGUGACGAUAAGACCCUAUAAAAUUUUACGAUUGGGUUUUACUUUAUAAAAUUUAGUUUAACUUAAAUUAAGAUUAUUAUCGUUGGGUUGGGGCGACUUUUAUAUAAUAAAAUAACUGUAAAAUAAGAUAAUAAAUUUAUUUAGUUAGUUGAUCCUUUUAUAAAGAUUAAAAGAGUAAAUUACUUUAGGGAUAACAGCGUA
Molecule: ribosomal RNA, 301 nt
Filed under: Thoralus cranchii
Lineage: Eukaryota; Metazoa; Arthropoda; Malacostraca; Decapoda; Hippolytidae
Description: partial 16S ribosomal RNA
Source: RNAcentral